GGUUGGUAAUGACAGUAUGUAUGAAUUUCCAAAGUUACAUGACUCUAAGUAUGACUUGGCUGAUCUGACUGGCUGGGCGGGUGUCCCCUUCCUCCCUUGCCGCUCCGUGUGCGUCCCUCCCGGGGCUGCGAGCUCGGUGGAGGAGGACCACAUCCCAGGUGUAGAGGGAGAGUGCCGAGGUCUCCGGUCUUCUGUCCCGGGUGUACGAUGGCUGUGCUCCCCUGCUAGAACCUCCAAACAAGCUCAAGGUCCAUUUGUAGGAACAGAGAUUCACAUUUUGCCAAGAUCUUGCCGAGCUUGCAGUGUUUGCUUGUGGUA
Non-coding RNA from Anolis carolinensis (green anole), 318 nucleotides. It matches the Rfam family "7SK RNA". Rfam says of the family: 7SK was discovered as an abundant small nuclear RNA in the mid-70s but a possible function has only recently been suggested. NCBI's taxonomy places the organism in Eukaryota, Metazoa, Chordata, Lepidosauria, Squamata, Anolidae. The record is from Rfam.